Xiphophorus couchianus (Monterrey platyfish) is the source of this 344-nucleotide long non-coding RNA. RefSeq lists it as uncharacterized. The record is from RefSeq and is a predicted model, not a curated record. Lineage: Eukaryota; Metazoa; Chordata; Actinopteri; Cyprinodontiformes; Poeciliidae. The transcript is spliced from 3 exons.
UGGAGCCGGUUCCAAUCGUUCACUUCAAAGAGCCGGCUCUUAGAGCCGGAUCGUUAGCGACCGACACAUCACUAGUUUCCCCUACUACAUGUCGGCUGCCCAAGUGGCUGGUGUGCUUGAUCCGCCCAUCUGAAUCCGUUGCUCUGCUGGUGUUAGCGGCUGCAGCUGGAGGUUGUUGCGGCGUACGGCUUCCAUCUAGCCCUCGCCUGCUGAUCCUCUCUCUCCCUGGGUCGGCUGUGCUACCACUCCUGGGAUUGUUUUGGAGUUGCAGCGCUUGGACGCUCUGCUGUCUUGUCUCGCCGGUGUUUGUUUGGGCCGCUCUCAACGAAACCUGUUGCUGAUUG